GGAUUAGAUACCCUGGUAGUCCACGCCGUAAACGAUGUCAACUAGCCGUUGGGAAUUUUACAUUCUUAGUGGCGUAGCUAACGCACUAAGUUGACCGCCUGGGGAGUACGGACGCAAGUUUAAAACUCAAAUGAAUUGACGGGGGCCCGCACAAGCGGUGGAGCAUGUGGUUUAAUUCGAUGCAACGCGAAGAACCUUACCAAUUCUUGACAUCCACGGAAGCUUUCAGAGAUGAGAGUGUGCCUUCGGGAACCGUGAGACAGGUGCUGCAUGGCUGUCGUCAGCUCGUGCCG
This 293-nucleotide ribosomal RNA is filed under the name uncultured bacterium. RNAcentral's name for it is "partial 16S ribosomal RNA". It matches the Rfam family "Bacterial small subunit ribosomal RNA", at positions 775 to 1067 of the family's 1533-position model. The record is from RNAcentral.